UUCCAACAUCACAGAUGUGCAUCACCAGAUUGAGGUCGUCUUUCGACUGAUUCAGACCAGGGUGCUGAUUUAAUGCGAACAUCCUGCACAUGUAAAAGGCUUCAGCUGGCCGCGAAGCGGCAUCGCUUGCACCGCUUGCACCCUUUAAGAUCAACGAACGAGAAAAUAAAUCAAGUAAAGAGUUGAUCCGCUGUCCUCUCAUACAGCCGGAUCACAAUCCCACAAACACCGGCCUUUACGGAGACCGGGUAGAUAAAAAGGAAAGUGGUCUUUAUAAGCAUUGACAAAAAAAAAGCUUAAUUUAUAAAUCUAAAAGUUCAGUGUUGUGAGGAAAAACAAAAGCAUCAGAGAAAAACGCCUCAGGACUCGUGCAGCGUCUACAGUCACCAGUCCGUGUAUUGCCUUUAAACCUACAAUUCAUAACAAGUGAC
Long non-coding RNA from Gasterosteus aculeatus aculeatus (three-spined stickleback), 431 nucleotides. Lineage: Eukaryota; Metazoa; Chordata; Actinopteri; Perciformes; Gasterosteidae. The record is from Ensembl.